Non-coding RNA from Salmo salar (Atlantic salmon), 1134 nucleotides. The record is from RefSeq and is a predicted model, not a curated record. NCBI's taxonomy places the organism in Eukaryota, Metazoa, Chordata, Actinopteri, Salmoniformes, Salmonidae.
AAAAUACAUUUAUGCACGAUGGCGCCCCUGCGCAGCCGGUUUGGUUCCCGUGUCACCCAAUAGGUUUAGCUUCCCCACCCGCCAUUUUUAAAAAGACCCGACGGAGCUCAUCGCCUUCUUGAAUCAUGCAGAGGUGGGCAUCAUGAAGGCCUCGUCAUUGAUUUUGUUGAAAGGGGAGAAAUUGCGCUUUACAAAUGGUAUUGAUAUUACAGCUGAUCUGGAAGUAUUACGUUUUUUGGGCGCUAAAAUAAGGUCAAUUGUAUGGACCAGCGCGACGUAAAAAACCUCCAUAUAGGAGAUCCGCUGAGCAGCCCUGAUCUUUGGCACCUUGACCUCCUUCACCCGAACAGGGCACUCAAGGAAGUCCGGAGCCCUGGGCCUGGAUGACAUUAAGACCCACCACUGGUGUAUCAUCGGCUGCAGUGCUGUGACUGGAGAGAACCUACUGACCGGAGCAGACUGGCUACUGGAUGACAUCGCUGCACGCGUCUUCACUGCAGAUUAACAUCCUGGGUGUGCAUUAAUAAAACGCAUCUAAAGAAGCUUCAGUGUUUCUCAACCUCCGCUCUGUGGGAUGUUGUUUGCUGACAACUUAAUCAGUUCUAUAAUGCUAGUUUUAGGGGAAGUUUCCCGGACACAGAUGCUUUUCAGUCCAGGACUAGGGUUAAUUGGUUUCCAGGAAACCGCCCCUAAAUGUGCAAUUGCACAAAACAUAGCUUUCCUGUCUCUGAUUAGAACAAGGUUGAGAAACACUAGUAGGCCAUUCUGGGUACCAGUGUGUUUGUACCAUCAUGCCACUGCACUGCUUGUCAUGUCAAACAACAAGGAGUGGGAUAACAUCACAAAGCAGGAAAACAGUUUUAGAAAGAUACCGGUAAGCUUGAAAUGGCCGUGGUCUAAUUGACUCAACAACCAAAACUCACGUCAGCGUUUUGAAUGAACUCAAAUCAAUUAAUUUGCGGUUAUUUAUGAAAAUUAGCUGGCUAGCUCAUUGAUGCUGCUUUGUAGUACACCUCUCAGAUGCUACUAGACAGUACCAUCAUACUGAGUAAUAACUGUUUACAGUGGUUGGUUGGUUUUCUGCCAACCAGUGCUUCACUUUAAUGUAUCAGUUAUUAAAAUUCACUCAUCCCA